UUGCUUCUUGCUGUAGAGGCUGCUGCCACCGGCUGGCUAGGUCGCUCUGUUUGCAGAGCCCCAGACCAACCCAAGGAGCGGACACCUCCAAUGCAAAAGCAAAGAUCUUAUUACCACUAAUCAGACAAUUUACAAAAGACUGAGCUGGACAAUGGAAGGACAAAGAUUACACCUUCAGUUUGGAUGCAGCUGUCAGGAUCAUAGUCGCCAGAUGAAAUGGAAGACUCAUGCCUGGAUGGUGGCAAGGCCUUUGCAAUUCUGAGUCCUUAAUUGAUUAUGUAGAACUUGCUCCUCAAUCUUACUCCAACAGGCAUCUUUUGGGGUUUAUUGCAAGAAAAAGAAAUAUAUUUCUUAUGCAUUAACCAUUGAA
Cricetulus griseus (Chinese hamster) is the source of this 370-nucleotide non-coding RNA. The record is from RefSeq and is a predicted model, not a curated record. NCBI's taxonomy places the organism in Eukaryota, Metazoa, Chordata, Mammalia, Rodentia, Cricetidae.